Molecule: ribosomal RNA, 503 nt
Filed under: uncultured Exiguobacterium sp.
Lineage: Bacteria; Bacillati; Bacillota; Bacilli; Caryophanales
Description: bacterial SSU rRNA
Rfam family: Bacterial small subunit ribosomal RNA
Source: RNAcentral
CGCGAAGAACCUUACCAACUCUUGACAUCCCAUUGACCGCUUGAGAGAUCAAGUUUUCCCUUCGGGGACAAUGGUGACAGGUGGUGCAUGGUUGUCGUCAGCUCGUGUCGUGAGAUGUUGGGUUAAGUCCCGCAACGAGCGCAACCCCUAUCCUUAGUUGCCAGCAUUCAGUUAGGCACUCUAGGGAGACUGCCGGUGACAAACCGGAGGAAGGUGGGGAUGACGUCAAAUCAUCAUGCCCCUUAUGAGUUGGGCUACACACGUGCUACAAUGGACGGUACAAAGGGCAGCGAGACCGCGAGGUGGAGCCAAUCCCAUAAAGCCGUUCCCAGUUCGGAUUGCAGGCUGCAACUCGCCUGCAUGAAGUCGGAAUCGCUAGUAAUCGCAGGUCAGCAUACUGCGGUGAAUACGUUCCCGGGUCUUGUACACACCGCCCGUCACACCACGAGAGUUUGCAACACCCGAAGCCGGUGAGUAACNAACAAGGAGCCAGCCGUCGAAGU